This 333-nucleotide unclassified non-coding RNA is filed under the name soil metagenome. RNAcentral describes it as "partial contains 5.8S ribosomal RNA, internal transcribed spacer 2, and large subunit ribosomal RNA". The stretch from base 1 to 120 matches the Rfam family "5.8S ribosomal RNA", at positions 35 to 154 of the family's 154-position model. The record is from RNAcentral.
GAUGAAGAACGCAGCGAAAUGCGAUAAGUAGUGUGAAUUGCAGAAUUCAGUGAAUCAUCGGAUCUUUGAACGCACAUUGCGCCCCUCGGUAUUCCGUGGGGCAUGCCUGUUCGAGCGUCAUUUACCCCUCAAGCACUGCUUGGUGUUGGGCGUCUGUCCCGCUUCGCGCGCGGACUCGCCCCAAAGGUAUUGGCAGCGGUCGUGCCAGCUUCUCGCGCAGCACAUUGCGCUUCUCGAGGCGGUCGAUCGGCGUCCACGAAGCUCACCUCCACCGUUUGACCUCGGAUCAGGUAGGGAUACCCGCUGAACUUAAGCAUAUCAAUAAGCGGAGGA